CGGUGUAGCUCAACUGGUAGAGCAACUGACUUGUAAUCAGUAGGUUGGGGGUUCAAGUCCUCUUGCCGG
This 69-nucleotide transfer RNA is filed under the name Bacillus pumilus. It matches the Rfam family "tRNA". Rfam says of the family: Transfer RNA (tRNA) molecules are approximately 80 nucleotides in length. Their secondary structure includes four short double-helical elements and three loops (D, anti-codon, and T loops). The record is from RNAcentral. Lineage: Bacteria; Bacillati; Bacillota; Bacilli; Caryophanales; Bacillaceae. RNAcentral also lists the same sequence under 8 other names.